This 332-nucleotide unclassified non-coding RNA is filed under the name soil metagenome. RNAcentral's name for it is "partial contains 5.8S ribosomal RNA, internal transcribed spacer 2, and large subunit ribosomal RNA". The stretch from base 1 to 120 matches the Rfam family "5.8S ribosomal RNA", at positions 35 to 154 of the family's 154-position model. The record is from RNAcentral.
GAUGAAGAACGCAGCAAAAUGCGAUAAGUAAUGUGAAUUGCAGAAUUCAGUGAAUCAUCGAAUCUUUGAACGCACAUUGCGCCCGCCAGUAUUCUGGCGGGCAUGCCUGUUCGAGCGUCAUUUCAACCCUCAAGCACAGCUUGGUGUUGGGACUCGCGUUAAUUCGCGUUCCCCAAAUUGAUUGGCGGUCACGUUGAGCUUCCAUAGCGUAGUAGUAAAACCCUCGUUACUGGUAAUCGUCGCGGCCACGCCGUUAAACCCCAACUUCUGAAUGUUGACCUCGGAUCAGGUAGGAAUACCCGCUGAACUUAAGCAUAUCAAUAAGCGGAGGA